Molecule: long non-coding RNA, 2609 nt
Filed under: Homo sapiens (human)
Lineage: Eukaryota; Metazoa; Chordata; Mammalia; Primates; Hominidae
Description: non-protein coding lnc-TMPRSS2-83:9
Source: RNAcentral
ACUCGCGCACACCCCUCAGUGCGCCCCGGGCGGGGGCUGCCGUCCUCCGCGACUCAAGAGCGAGCGCCCCCGCUCCCCGGCCCACCCGAGCCCCUCUGCGUUCCCCGCUCUUCUGUGCGGGGACAGCUGCUGCUUUGGGGGCGACGCUAAGCCGCGUGGAGGCGUCUCUGGACAGCCCCCUCCCUCCAACGAGCCCGAAAAGCCCGCGGCAGCAGCCGGGGGUCCCUACCUUCUGCGGGGGGGUCCCGAUCAGCAUCUCCAGGAGGCACUUGAAGUACAGACAAAGAGAAAAGUCUACCAAGGAAAGGGAGAAGAGCAAGCUGAGGACGCCAAAGAAUCUUGUUUGGGAUCUGCAGAUAGCAACAAGAAUCUUUAAUAAGAACAACAGAGAGAUGGUAUUUCCAGACAAGGGAAUAAAUUCCCGGAAGCAACUGGCCAAGGAAUGAAAAUCCUGGAGAACAGAGUGGAAGAAACGCGUAUUCCACAUUUCCUGUUGAUUUUCUUUCCUCCCUAAACACUGACCUCCCGCAGUCUUCACUAGCAGGGUGUUCUGGCCUCCAGAGCAUCUGGAUGGGUUCCAGGAUAUAAAUGUGACACUGUCAUUGCAUUAAAGUAGUCGAGCUGAAACCCCUGAAAACAAUCGUAGGACGAUGACAAGGUUUUGGCAGCUGCAAUCUUAAAGACCAGGAAGUGAGGUGAGGUCACCUGUAGAGGUCAUGCUGCGGAGUCCCGAGUCCCUGAUUAUAUUCAAGACGUGGAGCUCUCUUUUUCCCGUCCUGCUUUCUUUCCAGAAGUGCCUCAGAUGCAUCCUCCCCUUCUCUUUUCUCCACAUGAAGACGUCACUGACCAUCUUCUCUGGUUUGCUUUCCAACACCGAGCACCAAGUGCUUCAAAGGUCAUGGUGCCCUGGGGCCGAGAGCUACUUAUGUGGGCAUUUAUAACCAAAUAAAUAUUGAAAUGGCCCACAAAGCAAAUGUUAGUGGUAACCAACAGCGGUAAAACUGGGUACAUGGGACCCUGAACCUUCUUGAAUAUUCCCCAUGAGACCCUGGGCCGACCUUCGGGCUUUCCAGUGUGCUCAGAAAAUCCUCCGUGGCUCCCAGCCCCAGCUUAGUCUUUCAACGGUCCUCGGACUGAAGCAAGAGACAGGGAAGGAAUUGUCCAAGGUUUUCCAGCAUGCUGAGAACACUUACCAUGGUGGAGCCUGGCACGUACUGGCUCUUUGAUGCAUGUGUAUUGGUCUCAAGUAGCCAGAAGCAUCUCCUCUGAGAGCCCUUGCCCUCCAGUUUAAAUGGCAAAUGGAAGGGAAUGGGUUCUGGAAGGCCCCAGGUGGGCUGGGGUGGGUUCUGGAGACCAUCUUCCAACUCCUGUUCAGGAGGAGGGUUGGUCAGAUCAGCUCUGUGGCCACCUGGGCUCUGGAGGGGCGAGAUACGGGCAGGUGCGGCCACAGGAGGGAGAGCACCAUGUGCGGGGGAAGCCCACAGCUGGAACCAAAAGGCCCCAGGAGGGAUCCUGGCUCUGACAUCUCCCAGCCGUGUGGCCUUGGGCAAGGUCCCUGACUUGGACCUCAGCCUCCUCAUCUGUAAAACAGGCAGAACAGUAAUACCGACCUUGUAGGUUGUAUAGAGUUCAUAUACAUCAAGCACUUACCACAGUGCCUGGCGGACCGCAUGCCCUAAACACACAAUCCGUGAAAUGAAUCCAUCAGCAAGCAGCUGCUAGGGGCAGUGUGGGGCAGAGAGGCAGCUGCCUGCUGGAACUGGCUGACAGGAGGAUGAGUGUGUGGCAGGAGGAACGCUCUGCACAGAGGACACUAGGUAGCGUCACCUGUCUCUUACCCUGUGUCUCCACUGGAAUGGAAUGUCAGACUCGCACCAUGCAUUCCUUUCCCUGCCAAAACGCCUCCUCUUAGCAGUGAGCAAGAAAGUUGUUCGAGUGGAUGAAGCCAAAAGCCCAUUUGGCAAGAGUGCUGUUUUGGAAAAUGCUUAGCGGUGUGGGUUGGGAUGAGGUUUUCUGUGCCUUUCCAUUAUUUCUUCAGCUUCAUGUAACCCUGACUGAGCAAUGCUCAGCAGAGUGAAGGCUGGGCAGCAGAUGGACAAGAUUUUCUCAAACUCCUUUUUAAGCCAAUUUCAAAAUAGAGAGAGGGAAAAAUCCUUGUUUUCUCUUUUCGGUUUUGAGAGGUUUCAUAUGCAGACACAAUUUUAAAUUUUAUUUUUUUUGCCCCCAAUGAGAUGUUUGGAGAUGGUGGUACUAGAACAGGAAGGAAUUUAUAAGUAUUGGGGAAUUUUUCAUCCCAAUUCCCAUAUCCUCCUAUAAUUCAAGGAGUGAAUGGGUAGUGUUUUUGUUUUUGUGAGAGGGGUGGCGGAGGGUAGAGAGAGAAAGAGAGAGAGACAGAGAGAGAUUACAUAGAGGUGUCCAAAAUGAACACAGUAAAAACCAGUUUUGAUUAAUUCUGCAAUAUUAAGUAGGCAGCCAAAAAUUUUGGUCUGCUUAAUUCUUAGCUCAUCUAAGUCUCCAGUUGACUGAUUGAUUGAUUGAAUGACUUAUUCAACAUGCGCUAGCCAGACACUGGUCUAGGGCCCAGGAAUUCAGCAAUAAAUGAAACAAGA